Molecule: ribosomal RNA, 492 nt
Filed under: uncultured bacterium
Lineage: Bacteria
Description: partial 16S ribosomal RNA
Rfam family: Bacterial small subunit ribosomal RNA
Source: RNAcentral
ACUGCCCGCUUUCUUUCUUCCUAACACAUGCAAGUCGAACGGCAGCACAGUAAGAGCUUGCUCUUACGGGUGGCGAGUGGCGGACGGGUGAGGAAUACAUCGGAAUCUACUUUUUCGUGGGGGAUAACGUAGGGAAACUUACGCUAAUACCGCAUACGACCUACGGGUGAAAGCAGGGGAUCUUCGGACCUUGCGCGAUUGAAUGAGCCGAUGUCGGAUUAGCUAGUUGGCGGGGUAAAGGCCCACCAAGGCGACGAUCCGUAGCUGGUCUGAGAGGAUGAUCAGCCACACUGGAACUGAGACACGGUCCAGACUCCUACGGGAGGCAGCAGUGGGGAAUAUUGGACAAUGGGCGCAAGCCUGAUCCAGCCAUACCGCGUGGGUGAAGAAGGCCUUCGGGUUGUAAAGCCCUUUUGUUGGGAAAGAAAAGCAGCAGGUUAAUACCCCGCUGUUCUGACGGUACCCAAAGAAUAAGCACCGGCUAACUUCGUG